GAGCCCCACGCCUUCUCUCAACAACGCCCUCCUCUUCCUCGUUCUCAUCUCGCCCGGGCCCGGCGGAGGAACCUGUACGGCGGCUGAGCAGCACAGGAAGGGCAAGGGGCACCGGCGGCGUCGAUUUCGUGCCCCUCAGGUUGGUUCUCUUCCGCCGUCGGCUUCGGCUCGGCGCCACCGCGGGGAAAGGAGUGGCACAGACGGUGUCCCCUUCGACCGAUGGAUCCCUUCGCCCCGCGGGAUAUGCCCGCUUCAAAGGGAUGGACGCAAGCAGCGGGGAGCAACAGGGGCGGUGCCUGUCGAACCGAGCUAGAAGGUACGAUGCGCGAAGCGCGAUAGCCUAUCGCGCCGCUGCAGCCAGCACCCGCCGCCGGCUCCUCCUUCCCCACCAUCCGGGUCGCCUCGCCGGAAUCUCGGUCCCCAUCGGUGCAGGUCACCUUGACAGCACCUACGUCCUCACCAACCCAGGCAAGAUCACUGUUCCCGGCCUCCUCUCUUCCUCUCCCGGUCCAUAUUGCUCUUAGCUUUAGUUAAUUGAUUGCAUAACUUAGUUCAGUUGCUAACUGUGUGACUUGUAGGCUAGCUAGGGAAUCUUGUGGGUUCUUCUCAUUUCCCUCCCAGAUAGUGAGAUGUUCUUUGAUUUGUACUUUGUGUUUGACGCUAGCAUGAGUUCGGCGUGUACAGGGAAGAGGUUGCGAGAAGAUUGGUUCAAAUCUUGGUGAAGACCAAGGUAGUUGUAAUGUGGAUACAGGAAAAAAAUGCUUAGACAAUGUCAAGCAGGUCCAAAUGAUGUUCAAACUGGAGACCUUCUUCUAACCAUUAAAAAGGCAAAGUAUUCGGCACGCUUAUUUAUUCAUUUUACCGAGCAUGGUUGUUUUGAAACUAAUAUGGUGCUUUUUGGGCAUUGUUGAUGUUGGAGAAAGCGGUGGUACUACAGUGGACGAUGUUGCAUCCUCUAUGCAGGUAAGAGUUUUGUCUAAAUAAACUUUUCAUUGGUACAUGUCAUGUUUCUAAAUAACCUUUUAUGUUCCUUACUAUGGUAGUUUAGAAAGGAUUUAGCACAGAUUAAAAAAGGUCAUUGCAAUUGUCCUUGUAUAGAUAACUAGCUCACCUUUCUAAUUUCAGUUUUUGGUUAUUAUUGAUUCCCACUAUCCACUCUCAUAUGGAAAGGCAGAUUAUUCUCUCCAAUCAGGCCAUUCAUAUAUUUAUCCCUGGUGGGCACACACAUACUCGUGUGCAGUUGGAGACGGAUGUAAAUGAUUUUCAUUCACCUGUGAAGAUGCCUGUAUUCCUUGCAACAGUUUUCCGUGAUUGGACAUUUCCGAAUUAGUGAGAGAGGUUGGGUAGAAGCUCGUCAUGACGUGUUUUUCUUUAAUUUCCUUUCUCCAACUAAGCUAUCAUCUCGAAAUAUUUUCUUUUUUGCAUUGCUACGACAGAAGUGUGUGGCUGCGCGGGAGCGGUGUUUUGGAACAUGGGUGCAUAUGCUCCCUAUAUUUUGAAAUGCAUCUUACAUACAUUUUAAAUUUCAAAAAAAAUUGAAACUAAAAGUUCGUACGUACAUCUUCACAUGCUACGUGCUCACAAAGUCGUUUCAUAAAAAAUCAACUUAUCAUGUGACGUGUGUAAAAAAGACAAAAUUCAGUGCUAAAAAUAAUGCUUUUCACAAGAUAAACUUUCUCUUUUUUAUGUAGACCACAAAAAAUAUUGGUUUUGCGUGAAACUUGACAAACGCGCAUAUAUUAUGGAGAUGUACAUGUAGAAUUUUUUGUCUAAAUUUUUCGGUAUUUCGAAAUAUGAUUUUUUGGUAGAGGGAGCAUACGCACCCGGGAGCCGAAUUGAAUUUCCGGUGGCUGCGAGGAGGAGAAAUAUAUAAAAAGGAAACUGUGCUGUCACGGAGUUGUAAAUAUUGGUGCGGCUUCAUUGGUGGCUCAUGGCCCUUUGUAAGUUCAUGCAAUGCUACUACUCGAUGACCAGUUCAAUAUUUUGCUCCUGGCCCUUUGUAAGUUCACGCAUUGCUACUACUUGAUGACCAGUUCAGUAUUUUACUCCAUGACUUGUGUUUACAUGUACAUGGAUUGUGGUGCCCAGCAUAUGAAUUAGUCCCCAACCAAGGUAUUUUACUUAUCCCCAUCUUUAAUUCGUUGGUUUGGACAGUUCUUGCCAUCUGGAAUCCUGUGUCAGCAGCAACUGCUUCAACUAAGGUAAUUGCUUUCUCCUCUUUAAGAAGCAAGAAAGUUUUAUAUUCAAUCUUUGUUCCCACUGGGUUCUGUGUCCUGCAUUUGCAUGUGAUAGAUUAAAUUUCUACAUGGUUGUUAAUUUUUAGGCCUGUUAUUAGUCCAUAUGCGUAGGUUUUCUUUUUAUUCAUUUUGGGACAUUGUGUGCUUCCUCUGUGUUUAUUAAUUGUUCAGCUCUACCUCUUAUUCAUUCGGUAGUGUGACUUGCAUGUGUACCACAGUUAUGUAGAUAAAGGAAUUUAUCUCAUCCCUUUAGGUAUUCACACGUGACUGAAUAACAAUUCUUGUGCUUAUGCUCAGUAGUUGGAUAUGCUUUGGUUUGCAUCACAAACUGUGUAGAGCUUUCUUCGAAUAUGUAUAUAUUUUGUUAGUUCGUUGGUUUGUCAGUUCCUUCAAAGCAAAUGGUUUGAAAGAAUUACUUAUGUAACUCGUUUAAUUUCUAUUCACAUGAUGGUGCUUGUAACACUUUCUACAUAGUGAUAUCUACUCUACCAUGAUAUGAUAUCAGGAUAUGUCAAGAGGCUCUGUUGUGCUAUUUUUCUUUUCCGAAAUAAAAUAUUUGUUUGUGUUUAGUUUGGACCUUCAUGUACAAACAUAGCGUUUCCAAGUCCUUUGUCAAUGUCAAAUUACAGGGCACUUUUAAUAGUGUGUUACAGGAAAAAAAAUGUUGCUUCUAGCCCAAUUUAGAUUGUUGUUAUAAUUAUCAUCUAUGCCUGGAUGUCCUAUUUGGAGUGAUUACGCUGAACCAUGUGGGGCUCAGGAUAAAAUAAUCAUUCAGUAACAAAGGAAUGAUUCAUGGAUGAUAAAGACAAUUGCAGUUUUGCUACUUUUUUCUGUUUACCACUAACUUUAGGUUUUUAGUGUUUUCACAGGUUGCUUGAUACAUACACCACCCUGAGUGCUACAAUCGUAGUUAUUAGGAUUAUGUAAAGUUUCCUCGUGAAUCUGUUGUGUAAGCGCCUUGCAGUUUCUUGCAUUUUAUGAGAUUUCAUUAUGGAACUUAACAUAGAACCUGCUUCCAUUAACUAGGAUCGCUUCAGUGAAUCCCUUUUAUGAAACUGCAUAUAACUAAAUCUUAAUAAUUUCAAUAGGUAACUUUCUUAUAUUUCAGAGAGAAGUAAGUUUGCUAAUUGCCUAUUUUAAUUGUAAUACCUGCCAUGUUAUUCUCUGGAAUUUAUAGCAUUUUAUUUUUCUGCUUGAGAAGGUUGUAUCGAGAGCUGUACAACUCUAUUGAGAUAUUUGAUGUAUGUUAAAUCAGAAGUGCUGCUAUCCAUGUGCAAGACACUCAUACAUUUUGGUUUCCCUGGUGAUGUGCUUCAUCGACCACUGCUACGAAAGGCCUAUUUGAUUAGGAUUACAACAGAAAGAUAUGUAUAUAUGCAAGACAAGAUUAGUUCAAAACUCAGUCGAGCUAUCCUUUUGAAUUUCUUUCAUGCAAACAUGUUUUGCCUAGGUAAUGCUUCAAAUCACCAUGUACUAGAUUAGUUAAGAGUUUGGAAGCAUUCUUCAUGGUAUUGCCUUGCAAAAUUGAAUGUUAAGUUUGUGGUGUUCAGUAAA
Non-coding RNA from Lolium perenne, 3791 nucleotides. NCBI's taxonomy places the organism in Eukaryota, Viridiplantae, Streptophyta, Magnoliopsida, Poales, Poaceae. The record is from RefSeq and is a predicted model, not a curated record.